Long non-coding RNA from Mercurialis annua (annual mercury), 409 nucleotides. RefSeq lists it as uncharacterized. The transcript has 2 exons. Lineage: Eukaryota; Viridiplantae; Streptophyta; Magnoliopsida; Malpighiales; Euphorbiaceae. The record is from RefSeq and is a predicted model, not a curated record.
AGACUCGACGAGGCGACUACCAACGGAACGCGGAACUUAAAGAACGCGACAUCGCUUUGCUAGGACCGUAGCUUUUGGAUAGAAAACUUGUUAUGUUUCAGGUGUAUAGUAUCGGAAGUGACAGACUUCUAUCUUUGUUCCAGAAGUCUGUAAGUACAGAAAGAAGGAGUCGAUUAGUAGUGCUGCAGUAGUCAAGUCCUUAGAUGUUUGUAUAGUGAUUUGUCAAACGGUUUUAUAUGUUUUAUCUAAACUCUGAUAUGCACGAAAGGUUUUAAACUGCGUUUUUAAACCGUUUGUAUAUAUGCGGGAAACAGGGCAUUGCUUGAUAUGAGAUAUCACUUUGUAAGACCCUGAUUUCUAAAGAUCGUUUUGUAUCGUUUAAAGAAGUUUUAUAAAAACGUUUUGUGAA